GGUAGUGUAGUUAACACCUGCACUAUUUGACGUUACCUACACGAAGAAGCAACCCGGCUAACUACCGUGCCAGCAGCCGCGGUAAUACGGAGGGUGCGAGCGUUAAUCGGAAUUACUGGGCGUAAAGCGCAUGCAGGCGGCCUGUUAAGUCAGAUGUGAAAGACCCGGGGCGUUAACCUCGGAAUUGCAUUUGUAAACUAGGCAGGCUAGAGUCUUGUAGAGGGGGGUAGGAAGUUUCAGGUGUAGCGGUGAAAUAGCGUAGAGAUCUGAAGGAAUACCAGUGGCGAAGGCGGCCCCCUCGGACAAAGACUGACGCUCAGAUGCGAAAGCGUGGGGAGCAAACAGGAUUAGAUACCCCUGGUAG
This 364-nucleotide ribosomal RNA is filed under the name uncultured bacterium. Its description in RNAcentral is "bacterial SSU rRNA". It matches the Rfam family "Bacterial small subunit ribosomal RNA", at positions 446 to 793 of the family's 1533-position model. The record is from RNAcentral.